Molecule: long non-coding RNA, 505 nt
Organism: Aplysia californica (California sea hare)
Lineage: Eukaryota; Metazoa; Mollusca; Gastropoda; Aplysiida; Aplysiidae
Exons: 3
Source: RefSeq, a predicted model, not a curated record
GGCUUUGAUCCUGAGGACCCACCAUUCGAGCGGUUUUCUGGAUCCUUACAUCAGCAGCCUCCCCCUCCUAAUCCUCACCGAGGUUCGCACAUUUACCAACGGGUGAUCAACGCAGACAGUCGGCCAUUGUCCAAUGUGUGGGCCUAUAAUCAGCCGGAUGAACAGAUGUGAAGUGAACCUCCUGUUGUGGUGUUCCCUCGGACAAGAUAAUCCCUCUGAGUACAGAGUUACUGCCUGCACGUUGACUGACUCGUGGAGGAGAUGACAUUACUGUUGUCAUCAACUGAUGGACUUUAAAAAAAUAUCUCAUAUCUUGGUCCAAUAUAAUAUGUGGAACAGAUUACCUAUGGAACUAAGAUAAACAAGAACACUUGAUAGCUUCUAAAGACAUCUUAAUCAUUUACUGUUCCUACAGGUCUAUCCUUCUUAAGCUUUUAGCGUUAUUUUUAUUAUAGUUGUUCUUUGCCAACAUCUGAAAAUAGUCCGUGUGUGUGUGUGUGUGUGU